Molecule: long non-coding RNA, 214 nt
Filed under: Linum usitatissimum (flax)
Lineage: Eukaryota; Viridiplantae; Streptophyta; Magnoliopsida; Malpighiales; Linaceae
Description: long non-coding RNA (LUSI_LNC003247)
Source: RNAcentral
UGGAUAGACAGACAAACAGAUGAACAAAUUUGAAACAGGAACUCCAGAAUUAGAAAAGAACGGAGACUUACAGUAAGUGCCGGUGAAUUUAGGCGGCAGAGACGAGGGCAGUUGCUAUUGGCGAAGGAGAGCAGCGGUGAUUGGGUUUACAAGUUCGCCAAUGUGAAAAGAGUUACAGCUCCCUCAGGAAGACGAAGACGGCCAAGAAUGCUCC